Molecule: ribosomal RNA, 408 nt
Filed under: uncultured bacterium
Lineage: Bacteria
Description: partial 16S ribosomal RNA
Rfam family: Bacterial small subunit ribosomal RNA
Source: RNAcentral
GACGAACGCUGGCGGCGUGCUUAACACAUGCAAGUCGACCGGAGUGGUGAACGGAUGAGUAACUCGUGUGUGACCUGCCCUGCACUUCGGGAUAAGCCUGGGAAACUGGGUCUAAUACCGGCUAGUGUGGGAUGGGCCCGGGGCCUAUCGGCUUGUUGGUGGGGUAAUGGCCUACCACGGCGGCGACGGGUAGCCGGCCUGAGAGGUUGGACGGACUCAUUGGGACUGAGGGACGGCCCAGACGGCAACGGGGGGCAGCGGGGGGGAAGAUUGCGCAAUGAGGGGAAGAGUGAUGCAGCGACGCCGGGGGGGGGAUGAAGGCCUUCGGGGUGUGAACUCCUUUCACCAACUACGCGUUAGAUGGAGAAGAAGCACCGGCUAACUACGUGCCAGCAGCCGCGGUAAUAC